This 30-nucleotide non-coding RNA is filed under the name Mus musculus (house mouse). Lineage: Eukaryota; Metazoa; Chordata; Mammalia; Rodentia; Muridae. The record is from RNAcentral.
GAGACUACAGAGCUCUGUGUUAGCAUGUCA